GGGCGCAUAGCUCAGUUGGUUAGAGCGCCGUGCUCACACCGCGGAGGUCACAGAUUCGAGUUCUGUUGCGCCCA
This 74-nucleotide transfer RNA is filed under the name Planctomycetia bacterium. RNAcentral's name for it is "tRNA-Val". It matches the Rfam family "tRNA". From Rfam's summary of the family: Transfer RNA (tRNA) molecules are approximately 80 nucleotides in length. The record is from RNAcentral. Lineage: Bacteria; Pseudomonadati; Planctomycetota; Planctomycetia.